Molecule: ribosomal RNA, 635 nt
Filed under: uncultured bacterium
Lineage: Bacteria
Description: bacterial SSU rRNA
Rfam family: Bacterial small subunit ribosomal RNA
Source: RNAcentral
GUCAAGAAUGCAGUCGAACGGAAUAUCUUUUGUAGCAAUACAGGAGGUGUUCAGUGGCGAAAGGGUGCGUAACACGUGGGCAAUCUGCCGGGAAAUGGGGGAUAGCUCGUCGAAAGGCGAAUUAAUACCGCAUGUGGCCAUUGAAGACAUCUUCAAGACGCCAAAGUCGGGGAUCCAGCAAUGGACCUGACGUUUCCUGAUGAGCCCGCGGCCUAUCAGCUAGUUGGCGGGGUAAAAGCCCACCAAGGCUAUGACGGGUAGCUGGUCUGAGAGGACGACCAGCCACACUGGAACUGAGACACGGUCCAGACACCUACGGGUGGCAGCAGUCGAGAAUUUUUCUCAAUGGGGGCAACCCUGAAGGAGCGACGCCGCGUGGAGGAUGAAGGUCUUCGGAUUGUAAACUCCUGUCAUUUGGGAACAAUGUGCAUUUAUUAUCUGUGGAUGCAUUGAUAGUACCAGAAGAGGAAGAGACGGCUAACUCUGUGCCAGCAGCCGCGGUAAUACAGAGGUCUCAAGCGUUGUUCGGAUUCAUUGGGCGUAAAGGGUGCGUAUGUGGCGAGGCAAGUCGGGUGUGAAAUCCCGGAGCUCAACUCCGGAACUGCAUUCGAUACUGCCCUGCUCGAGUACUGGAG